AUACGUAGGUGGCAAGCGUUAUCCGGAAUUAUUGGGCGUAAAGAGUGAGCAGGCGGUUAAUUAAGUCUGAGGUUAAAGCGUGGGGCUCAACCCCAUAAAGCCUUGGAAACUGAUUGACUAGAGUACGGGAGAAGGGAAGGGAACUCCAUGUGGAGCGGUGAAAUGCGUAGAUAUAUGGAAGAACACCAGUGGCGAAGGCGCUUCACUAGCCCGAAACUGACGCUCAGUCACGAAAGCGUGGGUAGCAAAUAGGAUUAGAUACCCUAGUAGUCCACGCUGUAAACGAUGACAACUAAAUAUUGCCGCGAGGCAGUGUUGAAGCUAACGCAUUAAGUUGUCCGCCUGGGGAGUACGGUCGCAAGACUGAAACUUAAAGGAAUUGGCGGGG
Molecule: ribosomal RNA, 388 nt
Filed under: uncultured bacterium
Lineage: Bacteria
Description: partial 16S ribosomal RNA
Rfam family: Bacterial small subunit ribosomal RNA
Source: RNAcentral